CAACCUUAGAUCAGAUGUGGUGACUCAUCGAAUUUAAGCAUAUUACUAAGUGGUGGAAAAGAAAAUAAACAGUAACGGCGAGUGAAGAGGGAAGAGCCCAGUGCUGAAUCUCAACUCAUGUGACGGGUGCAGGGAAAUGUGAUGUACAGAAGUCUGUCUCCCCAGUGCCACCCAGGGGGCCCAAGUCCUUGUGAUCGAGGCUCAGCCCGCAGAUGGUGUGAGGCUGGUGGUGGCCCCUGGCGUGUCAGGAUCAGGUCUUUCCAGAGUCGGAUUGUUUGUGAAUGCAGCCCAAAGCAGGUGGUAAACACCAUCUAAGGCUAAACACUGGCAUGAGACUGAUAGUGGACUAGUACCAUAAGGGAAUGUUGAAAAGAAUUUUGAAGAGAGAGUUCAAGAGGGCGUGAAACCGUUCAGUGAUAAACAGGUAGGGUCCGCGGUCCACCCAGAGGAUUCAACCCGGCAGCUGCACCACCCACCAGGACAAGGCAGAUCUCCCUCCCCCUCCAGGGGGGUGGAGGAUCAUCUACAGGCAUGCCGGCCACUGUCGAACACACAUCCUCCAUGGCAGUGUGCAGAGACUAGCUCGGGGUCAGCCGGGAAGCCCGCAUGGAAUGUGGCUCCCUCCCUGAAGGUGAGUGUGACAGCCCACAGCAUGAGCCCUUGCCAUGCCCUGGGGUUGUGGGAGACAACUGCUGCUGCAUCUGCCCCCACUCUCAUGGUGGGGACUGGGGGGCCCCGGCUCCCAGUGGGACUGGCCUAGACUGCCCUCAAUGCAGCCAGACCACAUCCCACCUCCAGGCCAGCGGGCUCACCUUGGAUGUCUGGAGUCCACUGCGAUGUUGGUGAUGCACCCAUCCCAUCUUGAAACAUGACCAAAGAGUCUAACAGGUGCGCAAGUCCGAGGGUGGCAGGAGACCCUAUGGUGCAAUGAAAGUGAGGGCCGGUGUGCGCCGGCUGUGGAAGGAUCCUCCCACCAUGCUCACGGGGCACACCUGAGGCCUGUCUCACCCAUCCUGUCGGGGAGGUGGAGCGUGAGCACACCUGGUGGGACCUAAAAGAUGUUGAACUAUGCCUGGACAGGGUGACACCAGAGGAUACUCUGGUGGAUGUCCGUAGUGGUUGUGACAUGCAAAUCAGUUGUCCGACCUGGGUAUAGGGGUGAAAGACUAAUUGAACCAUCUAGUAACUGAUUCCGUUCAAAGUUUGCCUCAGGAUAGCUGGCACUCGGCGGACUCAGUUUUAUCUGGUAAAGUGAAUGAUUAGAGGUCUUAGGACUAAAUGAUCUCAACCUAUUCUCAAACUUUAAAUGGGCAUAAACCCCGACUCACUGGCUUGGAGCUAGGCAUGGAAUGUGAGCACCCUGUGGGCCACUUUUGAUAAGCAGAACUGAUGCUGUGGGAUGAUCCGAAUGCCAGGUUAAGGUGCCCAAUGCUGACACUCAUCAGACACCAGAAAAGGUGUCGGUUGAUGUAGACAGCAGGACGGUGGUAAUGGAAGUUGGAAUCUGCUAAGGAGUGUGUACAACUCAUCUGCCGAAUCAACUAGCCCUGAAAAUGGAUGGCACUGGAGCACCGGGCCCAUACCUGGCCAUAGCCAGCACUGGGAGCCAAGGGGGCUAUGCCGCAAUGAGUAGGAGGGCCACCGUGGUGGCACUGAAACCCAGGGCGAGGGCCCGAGUGGAGUAGUCGUGGGUGCAGAUCUUGGUGGUAGUAGCAAAUAUUCAAAUGAGAGCUUUGAAGGCCGAAGUGGAGAAAGUUUCCAUGUGAACUGCAGUUGAACAUGGGUCGGUCAGUCUUGAGAGAUAGGCAAGUGCUGUUCCGAAGGGAUGGGUGAUGGCCUCUGUCGCCCUCAGCCGAUUGAAAGGGAGUCGGUGUUCAGAUCCUCGAAUCUGGAGCAGCAGAGACGGGCACCUCGCGGCAUCCAGUGUGGUGAUGCAAACGAUCCCAGAAAAGCUGGCAGGGGCUUCUGGGAGACUUCUCUUUUCUUUGUAAAGGGCAGGGUGCCCUGGAAUGGGUUCUCCCUGAGAGAGGGCUCAAUGCCCUGGAAAGCAUUGCGGUUCCAGCAGUGUCAGAUGAGCUCUUGCCGGCCCUUGAAAAUCCAGGCGAGAGGGUGUAAGUCUUGAACCAGGCCAUACCCAUAUCUGCAGCAGGUCUCCAAGGUGAACAACUUCUGGCAUCUUAGAACAAUGUAGGUAAGGGAAGUUGACAAGCCAGAUCUGUAACUUCGUGAUAAGGAUUGGCUCUAAGGGCUGGGUUGGUCAGGCUCGGGCGUGAAGCGGGGCUGGGUGCACACCGUGUCUGGAUGAGGCGUCAUCUCCUUGCUGUGCUACCCCCUCCCAGCAGGGCUGAGGGGAUGGUGGCAGUGACUCUAGACACACACUGGGCCCUUCCUGUGGAUUGCCCCGGCUGUGGUGGGCACCUGUCCCGACCAGCAUCAUGCAUCAUCCGGCAGCUAUCAGCUGACUUAGAACUGGUAUGGACCAGGGGAAUCUGACUGUUUAAUUACAACAAAGCAUCACAAAGGCCCGAGACAGGAAUUGACAUGAUGUGAUUUCUGCCCAGUGCUCUGAAUGUCAAAGUGAAGAAAUUCAAUGAAGCGUGGGUAAACGGCAGGAGUAACUAUGACUCUCUUAAGGUAGCCAAAUACCUCGUCAUCUAAUUAGUGAUGCACAUGAUUGGAUGAACAAGAUUUCCACUGUCCCUACCUACUAUCUAGCAAAACCACAGACAAGGGAAUGGGCUUGGCAGAAUCAUUGGGGAAAGAAGACCCUGUUGAGCUUGACUACUCUGGCUCUGUGAAGAGACAUGAGAGGUGUAGAAUAAGUGGGAGGCCUCGGCCACUGGUGAAAUACCACUACUCUUAUAGUUUUUUCCUUUACCAGGUGAGGCGGGGGUGAGCCCCACUGGGGCUCUGCUUCUGGCUCCAACGCCUGGGUAUCUGGGUGCAACCUGCUCUGGGGACAGUGUCAGGUGGGGAUUUUGACUGGGGCAGUACAGCUGUCAAAGAGUAAUGCAGGUGCCCUAAGGCGAGCUCAGGGAGGACAGAAACCUUCCAUGGAGCAGAACGGCAAAAGCUCGCUUGAUCUUGAUUUUCCAUAUGAAUACAGACCAUGAAAGCAGGGCCUCAUGGUCCUUCUGGCUUUUUGGGUUUUAAGCAAGAGGUGUCAGAAAAGUUACCACAGAGAUAACUGGCUUGUGGCAGCCAAGCAUUCAUAGCAGCUUUGCUUUUUGAUCCUUCGAUGUCAGCUCUUCCUAUCACUGUGAAGCAGAAUUCACCAAGCGUUGGAUUGUUCACCCACUAAUAGGGAACGUGAGCUAGGUUUUGACCGAUGUGAGACAGGUUAGUUUUACCCUACUGGUGAUGUGUUGUUGUGAUACUAAUCCUGCUCAGUACGAGAGCAACUGCAGGUUCAGACAUUUGGUGUAUGUGUUUCACUGAGGAGUCAAUAAUGUGAAGCUUCCAUCUGUGGGGUGAUGACUGAAUGCCUCUAAGUCAGAAUCCCUACUAAACAUAACGAUACCGCAGAUCUCCAGUUGGCCAAGGAUAGCUGGCCGCAAGGUCGGUGAGGAGCGCCGCUCAUCAUGGGUCAGAGUGCAGAUGCAAGGGGGCCACCUCCAUCCAGCAAUGUACCACACGUUCAUGGGGAACUGGGUGCUAAAUCAUUUGUAGAUGACCUGAUUCUGGGUCAGGGUUUCACACAUAGCAGAGCAGCAAAAAGCUGCAAUCUAUUGAAAGUCAGUCCUCGAGCCAAGCAUUUGU
Protopterus annectens (West African lungfish) is the source of this 3759-nucleotide ribosomal RNA. The record is from RefSeq and is a predicted model, not a curated record. NCBI's taxonomy places the organism in Eukaryota, Metazoa, Chordata, Ceratodontiformes, Protopteridae.